UUGCUUUCUUCACUUUUAUUGGCUUUCUUCAUAUUAUUUUCAGUUUCAAUCUUCUUUAAGGAUGACUAUUCUCAUUGAGCAACCACAGCUUGUUACAGGGUUUGAGGAAGAGGAAAAGAAGAUCCCUGUUGACGAGAAAGAACUGGGGCUGGACGGUGGAUUUGUGGUGCCACAAACCAACUCUUUUGGCCAAACUUUUAGAGAUUAUGAUGCUGGAGGUGAGAGGCAACCAGGUGUGGAGAAUUUCUACAGGAUUAAUCACAUUAGCCAGACCUAUGACUUUGUGAAAAGGAUGAGAGAAGAGUAUGCCAAGCUGAACAGAGUGGAAAUGAGCAUAUGGGAAUGUUGUGAACUUCUUAAUAAUGUUGUAGAUGAGAGUGAUCCUGACUUGGAUGAACCUCAAAUUGAGCAUUUGCUGCAAACAGCUGAGGCCAUUAGAAAGGACUAUCCCAAUGAAGACUGGCUGCACUUGACUGGCCUUAUUCAUGAUCUUGGAAAGGUGCUUCUUCUUCCCAGCUUUGGUGAGCUUCCACAAUGGGUGACACUUUCCCUGUUGGAUGUGCUUUUGAUGAAUCAAUAGUCCAUCACAAGUAUUUCAAGGAGAAUCCUGACUACAAUAAUCCUGCUUUCAAUACUAAGUAUGGGGUUUACUCAGAAGGAUGUGGAUUAAACAAUGUUAUGAUGUCGUGGGGACACGAUGAUUACAUGUGUCUGGUGGCCAAGGAGAAUAAGACAACUCUACCUUCAGCAGCUCUUUUCAUCAUCAGAUACCAUUCAUUCUAUGCCCUACACAGGUCAGAAGCAUACAAGCACUUGAUGAAUGAAGAGGAUAUUGAAAAUCUGAAGUGGCUUCAAAUAUUCAACAAAUAUGACCUCUACAGCAAGAGCAAAGUUCGUAUUGAUGUGGAAAAGGUCAAGCCAUACUAUCUCUCCCUCAUUGAAAAGUACUUCCCUGCAAAGCUAAAAUGGUGAAUCUUGAAAGAUUUCAAGUUCAAUCAGUGAAGAUCAGGAUGCUUAAUAUCUUGCAGAGAUAAAGGGCUGCUGUAGUUCCCUUGGAAACAGCUUUGUAGCAGUAAUUACAGUUUUUUUGUGCAUCCAGCUCGAUCUUUGUAGCUUGAGUGUCA
RNAcentral lists this unclassified non-coding RNA (1124 nucleotides) under Hevea brasiliensis (rubber tree). The record is from RNAcentral. Lineage: Eukaryota; Viridiplantae; Streptophyta; Magnoliopsida; Malpighiales; Euphorbiaceae.